AACAUAAAUACAUUAUGGUAUUAAAUUAUAUUACGUUUAUAAUAAAUAAAGGAAUGCACUUUAUCUAAUGAUUGGUUAAGCAUUAUCCUAUAUUUAAAUAUAUUUUCAAGUGUUAAAACUACCUCACAGAGUACGCAAAGUACUGCACAUUAAUAACUGGAAUCUGUAUGCUGUAAUUUAUAAAUCCUAAAGGCUUAGCUCCAAAAUAUGAAUCCACAUUAAUGCAUGAGCCAUGCAGUCGUGUAAUGCAAACUGCUUUGUGAACUCACUAUGGACGUGUUCUGUUCGUUUCGGUGGAAACAAUGCAGGCAACCACUGGAUUCGUUAAUGUAAUUUCUGUAUAAUGUUAGAUACAUAAGGAAGGCCAUAUGUAGUAUGUACUUUACAUUUAUAAUGAAGACACGAUGCUUCUCGUCGAUUUCCAACGGCGGCAAAUCAUUUAUUAGAGGAAAAAUGAAGACGAACUGACGCUGUUUAUAGCGAGCAGCGCCCUCUGUUGGUCAAAACAAACAAACGCCAGCGGAGGAGCUGAGGCUCUGAUAGGCUCAUACAUUACAUUAAAAACGUUUCAUUUAGUUUUGCUAAUAUUAGACAGGAUUAGAAUCUGAAUUAGGUUUGUUGCCAUCUUAAAUUAUUUUAUUUAUAACAGUAGUUAAUGAAUAUUCAAAUACAAUUUUGGUCUAUAUUUUGCAUUAUGACGUAAAUAAGUAUUAGAAUGCACUUUAUCUAAUGAUGUGAGUUAAAACCAUAACUAUCUCAAAAAGCACAUGGACUACUGCACAUUUAUAACUGAAAUCUUUGUACUGUAAUUUAAUCCCACAUGUAGUGGUGAUGGGAUAAACAGUUUGAUGGAUAUCAGAUGGAGCUGUCAGUGUGUCACUUUCCAUAUGCUGAAGCAAACAUAAAGCUUUUGUCUAAUGACCAGCGCUUUAUCAAGGCUAAAAAUGGAAAGAAACAGGAAAGGAGCUCACUGCAGGCCCAUGCAGGGUUUUCCUGUAUAAUAAACCUGAGCUAAAUCAGACAAAGCACCAAUGGCAAACCUGAUUACUUUGUCUUUGCAUGAUAUAUUAUUUGUCUGUCUGUAUUUUAUUUGCCUUCAAACACACACUAUGGUUACCUGAAAUAUUGAAAUACAAGAAGUAGCUGUCAGAGUGGGAUAAUGUAAUAAAUGCUAGAACGCAAACGGUAUGAUUUUGCUCACAUUGAAUUAUCUUCAGUUUAUUCAACACCCACAUCACC
Molecule: long non-coding RNA, 1239 nt
Organism: Cyprinus carpio carpio
Lineage: Eukaryota; Metazoa; Chordata; Actinopteri; Cypriniformes; Cyprinidae
Source: Ensembl